RNAcentral lists this ribosomal RNA (520 nucleotides) under Ennucula cardara. RNAcentral describes it as "partial 16S ribosomal RNA". It matches the Rfam family "Bacterial large subunit ribosomal RNA", at positions 1816 to 2600 of the family's 2925-position model. The record is from RNAcentral. Lineage: Eukaryota; Metazoa; Mollusca; Bivalvia; Nuculida; Nuculidae.
CGCCCCUUGUUUAUUUAAGAUGAGGGGUCGUGCCUGCUCAAUGAUUAUUAUUAAUUAAAUAGCCGCGGUACUCUGACCGUGCGAAGGUAGCAUAAUAAUUUGCCCCAUAAUUGGGGGCUAGAAUGAAUGGCUUGACGAGGGCCUGACUGUCUUUUUGGUUUUGAUUAGAAAUUAAUUUUUAGGUGAAGAAGCCUAAAUUGGGGAAAGGGACGAGAAGACCCUGUUGAGCUUUGAGUUUAUUUUAUUUAUUUGGUUUAUAUAUUUAUAGAAUUUAAUAUGAAUUUUGGCUUUAGUUGGGGCAACUGAGGGAUAAUAAGUAAUUUCCUUAGCUAAGUUAUAAAAUUAUUAUUAUUGAUCCGUUUUUUACGGUUAGUAGAUAUAGUUACCACAGGGAUAACAGCGUAAUCUUUUCUGAGAGUUCUAAUCGAAGAAAAGGAUUGCGACCUCGAUGUUGGACUAAGGGAUUCUUAAGGGAGUAGAAGCUCUUAAAGUAAGUCUGUUCGACUUUUUAAACCUUACA